UCAAUAGCAACAAAAAGUACCAUUAAAUCUCCUUUCUUGUGAUAGUUUUUCUGUAAUUUACUCGUGCAAUGCGCUGAUUUCUUCCAUUGCUUAUUUGACAUAUGAAGCAUAUGCCCAGUUAAGACAAAUAUUAACUGUUUUAAAUCUUUUACCUUGUUUAUGUUAUGAAGUGAAACCAGUUAUUAUGUAUUAUGUGUUUUAUGUUCUGCUUUCAAAAGAAAAUUGUACCAGUGAUUAUUUAACCUGAUGUCAGCGGAAAGAGAACAGUUACAGGGUGUUUUAACCCGGGCCAUGUCGUGUGUUCGAGAAGCUGAAGAAGCAGCAGAAGCAGAUGACUUUGCAGCUUCUUGUGUGAGACAAACUAGAGCUUUAUUUAGAAGAAGUGCACGGAGACCACCUUUAUCAGGGGAUACUACAACAAGAAAAAAAGGAAGAUCAAAAUGCGAUAUAUGGAAACUUAAUUUUUUCCUUCUCCAGAAACACAAUGAAGAGUAUGUUCCACCUCCCUCAGAACUUUCACGUCUUACAAGAAAUGGCUUAGGUCCUCCAAAACAUGAGCAGCCUGGGACUCAAGACAGAUAUGGAAGCAAAUCAUCCAUUAAUAG
Erpetoichthys calabaricus (reedfish) is the source of this 605-nucleotide long non-coding RNA. RefSeq lists it as uncharacterized. The record is from RefSeq and is a predicted model, not a curated record. The transcript is spliced from 3 exons. Lineage: Eukaryota; Metazoa; Chordata; Cladistia; Polypteriformes; Polypteridae.